Molecule: microRNA precursor, 57 nt
Filed under: Sarcophilus harrisii (Tasmanian devil)
Lineage: Eukaryota; Metazoa; Chordata; Mammalia; Dasyuromorphia; Dasyuridae
Description: Sha-Mir-430-o17_pre stem-loop
Source: RNAcentral
AUCCUAACUCUGAGUCCUUAUUGGAUAUUUGAAGAUAAGUGCUCUCAGUUGGGAUGA